Chenopodium quinoa (quinoa) is the source of this 673-nucleotide long non-coding RNA. RefSeq lists it as uncharacterized. Lineage: Eukaryota; Viridiplantae; Streptophyta; Magnoliopsida; Caryophyllales; Amaranthaceae. The transcript is spliced from 2 exons. The record is from RefSeq and is a predicted model, not a curated record.
CACGCCCUCACUCUCUCCAGCUCUCCUCCAUCUCCUUCUCUUUCUUCUCUCAUCUCCGUUCUCCAUCUCCAUGAGUUUUAAUUUCAUCGCUUCUCAGUCCGGUGGUGGUGCGACCAUCGAAAAAUUCGACCCACGACCAUAUUUUCGAGCAAAUUCGAGCCAAGACCAUCCUUUUCGAUAAAUUCGAGUUUAGACCAUAAUUUUCGAGUUUUUUAGGUCAAAUUCGACCAUAAAACUCUAGAUCUAGAGUUUUCUUGGUCGAAUUUGACCCUUAAAACCCAAAUUUCAAGCCAAUUUCGAGGCCGAUCUGGUGUUGGUGGGGGUUUUGGUGGGGGUCGUGGUGGGCGAAGUGGGUUGGGAUCUGGUGUUGGUGGGGGUCUUGGUGGGCGAAUGGGCUGGGAUCUGAUGGAUGGUGGGGUCGUUUUAGGCGAAAAUGGCUGGGAUUUGGUGGAUGGUGGUGGUGCGCGUGCGUGGACGGUGGUGGUGGUGGUGCAUGUGGACGGUGGUGGAGCAAGUGAACAAGAGCUGUUGUUGUUGUUUUUUUUUUUUUUUUUUAAUCAAGCUGUUGUAUUAUUUUUAUUACUUAUAUUAAUUUUUUUCUUUUUAUGAAAUGUAAUACUUACAAGUUACAACAAUCAAUUAAUUUAUCUAAAUAUUAUUGGUUUUACAUAUA